RNAcentral lists this ribosomal RNA (465 nucleotides) under uncultured bacterium. Its description in RNAcentral is "partial 16S ribosomal RNA". It matches the Rfam family "Bacterial small subunit ribosomal RNA", at positions 28 to 507 of the family's 1533-position model. The record is from RNAcentral.
GACGAACGCUGGCGGCGUGCUUAACACAUGCAAGUCGAACGGAAAGGCCCUGCUUGCAGGGUACUCGAGUGGCGAACGGGUGAGUAACACGUGGGUGAUCUGCCCUGCACUUCGGGAUAAGCCUGGGAAACUGGGUCUAAUACCGGAUAGGAGCCAUUUUUAGUGUGAUGGUUGGAAAGUUUUUUCGGUGUAGGAUGAGCUCGCGGCCUAUCAGCUUGUUGGUGGGGUAAUGGCCUACCAAGGCGGCGACGGGUAGCCGGCCUGAGAGGGUGGACGGCCAUCUUGGGACUGGGAUACGGCCCAGACUCCUACGGGAGGCAGCAGUGGGGAAUAUUGCACAAUGGGCGCAAGCCUGAUGCAGCGACGCCGCGUGGGGGAUGACGGCCUUCGGGUUGUAAACUCCUUUCGCUAGGGACGAAGCUUUUUGUGACGGUACCUAGAUAAGAAGCACCGGCUAACUACGUG